RNAcentral lists this long non-coding RNA (313 nucleotides) under Nicotiana benthamiana. RNAcentral's name for it is "long non-coding RNA (NBEN_LNC014309)". The record is from RNAcentral. Lineage: Eukaryota; Viridiplantae; Streptophyta; Magnoliopsida; Solanales; Solanaceae.
AAGCACACUCCCAGUGUCAGAGCGGAAAAUAGCAUGAAUAUCCAGGCCUUGAGCGUACACAGGAGCAGCAAAACGGCCGGAUUCAUGAUUAGAGACAUGAGCAAAGAUAUGCUCAUCUCCCACCAUGAACCUAACACUCUAAUAUCUUCAGAGUAGGAUUCUUCCGUCCACUCGCAAGGCCCCGAGAAUAGUCUCCCAGCAUGAAGCUAACACUCUAAUAUCUUCGGAGUAUGAUUCUUCCGUCCACUCGCAAGGCCCCGAGAAUAUUGAAUAGAAGCCUAUGAGGGGGAUUGCAAAUACCAUGCCAACAUAU